UGGUGGAGUGUCACGACUUGGUGGAGU
RNAcentral lists this non-coding RNA (27 nucleotides) under Bombyx mori (domestic silkworm). Lineage: Eukaryota; Metazoa; Arthropoda; Insecta; Lepidoptera; Bombycidae. The record is from RNAcentral.